AGGACUGGGGCCCCGCAACUGGCCUCUCGUGCCUUCUUAAGCGCAGCGCCAUUUUAGCAACGCGGAAGCCCGGCGCCGGGAAGCCUCAGCUCGCCUGAAGGUGGUAAACUAUACCUACUGUCCCUCAAGAGAACACAAAAAGUGCUUUAAGAGGCGGCGGAAGGUGAUCGAAUUCCGGUGAUGCGAGUUGUUCUCCGUCUAUAAAUACGCCUCGCCCGAGCUGUGCGGCAGGCAGUGAGGCAGCCAGCGCAGGGGCUUCUGCUGAGGGCGCAGGCGGAGCUUGAGGAAACCGCAGAUAAGUUUUUUUCACUUUGAAAGAUAGAGAUUAAUACAACUACUUAAAAAAUAUAGUCAAUAGGUUACUAAGAUAUUGCUUAGCGUUAAGCUUUUAACGUAAUUUUAAUAGCUUAAGAUUUUAAGAGAAAAUAUGAAGACUUAGAAGAGUAGCAUGACGAAGGAAAAGAUAAAAGAUUUCUAAAACAUGACGGAGGUUGAGAUGAAGCUUCUUCAUGGAGUAAAAAAUGUAUUUAAAAGAAAAUUGAGAGAAAGGACUACAGAGCCCUGAAUUAAUACCAAUAGAAGGGCAAUGCUUUUAGAUUAAAAUGAAGGUGACUUAAACAGCUUAAAGUUUACUUUAAAAGUUGUAGGUGAUUAAAAUAAUUUGAAGGCGAUCUUUUAAAAAGAGAUUAAACCGAAGGUGAUUAAAAGACCUUGAAAUCCAUGACGCAGGGAGAAUUGCGUCAUUUAAAGCCUAGUUAACGCAUUUAAACGCAGACGAAAAUGGAAAGAUU
RNAcentral lists this long non-coding RNA (791 nucleotides) under Pan troglodytes (chimpanzee). RNAcentral's name for it is "lincRNA". The record is from RNAcentral. Lineage: Eukaryota; Metazoa; Chordata; Mammalia; Primates; Hominidae.